Molecule: transfer RNA, 71 nt
Filed under: Ictidomys tridecemlineatus (thirteen-lined ground squirrel)
Lineage: Eukaryota; Metazoa; Chordata; Mammalia; Rodentia; Sciuridae
Description: Spermophilus tridecemlineatus (thirteen-lined ground squirrel) tRNA
Rfam family: tRNA
About the family: Transfer RNA (tRNA) molecules are approximately 80 nucleotides in length. Their secondary structure includes four short double-helical elements and three loops (D, anti-codon, and T loops). Further hydrogen bonds mediate the characteristic L-shaped molecular structure. tRNAs have two regions of fundamental functional importance: the anti-codon, which is responsible for specific mRNA codon recognition, and the 3' end, to which the tRNAs corresponding amino acid is attached (by aminoacyl-tRNA synthetases). tRNAs cope with the degeneracy of the genetic code in two manners: having more than one tRNA (with a specific anti-codon) for a particular amino acid; and 'wobble' base-pairing, i.e. permitting non-standard base-pairing at the 3rd anti-codon position.
Source: Rfam by way of RNAcentral
GGGUUUGUAGCUCAGUGGUAAAGCAUUUGCCUCACAUGCAUGGGAGGCCCUGGGUUCGAUCCUCAGCACCA